This 200-nucleotide ribosomal RNA is filed under the name uncultured bacterium. RNAcentral's name for it is "partial 16S ribosomal RNA". It matches the Rfam family "Bacterial small subunit ribosomal RNA", at positions 32 to 222 of the family's 1533-position model. The record is from RNAcentral.
AAUCAACGCUGGCGGCGUGCCUCAGACAUGCAAGUCGAACGAUUAAAGCUCUCUUCGGAGAGUGUAUAGAGUGGCGCACGGGUGAGUAACACGUAAGUAAUCUACCCUCGAGUGGGGAAUAACGUUCGGAAACGAACGCUAAUACCGCAUAACGCAGCGGCACCGCAAGGUGACAGUUGUUAAAGGAGUAAUUCGCUUGA